AUGAACGCUGGCGGCAUGCCUUACACAUGCAAGUCGAACGGCAGCAUGACCUAGCUUGCUAGGUUGAUGGCGAGUGGCGAACGGGUGAGUAAUGCAUCGGAACGUGCCUUUUAGUGGGGGAUAACGUAGCGAAAGUUACGCUAAUACCGCAUAUUCUCUGAGGAGGAAAGCAGGGGACCUUCGGGCCUUGCGCUAGAAGAGCGGCCGAUGUCGGAUUAGCUAGUUGGUGAGGUAAAGGCUCACCAAGGCAACGAUCCGUAGCGGGUCUGAGAGGAUGAUCCGCCACACUGGGACUGAGACACGGCCCAGACUCCUACGGGAGGCAGCAGUGGGGAAUUUUGGACAAUGGGCGCAAGCCUGAUCCAGCCAUGCCGCGUGAGUGAAGAAGGCCUUCGGGUUGUAAAGCUCUUUCGGCUGGGAAGAAAUCGCACCCUCUAAUACAGGGUGUGGAUGACGGUACCAGCAGAAGAAGCACCGGCUAACUACGUG
Molecule: ribosomal RNA, 489 nt
Filed under: uncultured bacterium
Lineage: Bacteria
Description: partial 16S ribosomal RNA
Rfam family: Bacterial small subunit ribosomal RNA
Source: RNAcentral